UUUUGGCACAGGGGUUACACCUGUUCCCAUCCCGAACACAGAAGUUAAGACCUGUUGCGCCUAUGGUACUGCCAGCUUACGUUGGUGGGAGAGUCGGUCAGCGCCGGAU
RNAcentral lists this ribosomal RNA (109 nucleotides) under SAR324 cluster bacterium. The record is from RNAcentral. Lineage: Bacteria; Deltaproteobacteria.